RNAcentral lists this ribosomal RNA (332 nucleotides) under uncultured eukaryote. RNAcentral describes it as "partial 18S ribosomal RNA". It matches the Rfam family "Eukaryotic small subunit ribosomal RNA", at positions 1470 to 1796 of the family's 1831-position model. The record is from RNAcentral.
CCCUUAGAUGUUCUGGGCUGCACACGUGCUACACUGGCAGGUUCAGCGAGCUUCAUGCCCUGAUCUGAAAGGAAUGGGAAAUCUUUUCAAAACCUGCCGUGCUUGGGAUAGAUGUUUGCAAUUAUUCAUCUUCAACGAGGAUUGCCUUGUAAGCGCACGUCAUCAGCGUGCAUUGAAUACGACCCUGUAUUCUGUACACACCGCCCGUCGUUCCUACCGAUUGAAGUUUUCGGUGAGUUGACAGGAGGAUUUUUUUGAAACUGGUUCGCCAGUGGAUUUUAGAUCCAAAUGCCAACGAAUCGAUGGCUUUAGAGGAAGGAGAAGUCGUAACA